GUGGGGAAUAUUGGACAAUGGGCGAAAGCCUGAUCCAGCAAUGCCGUGUGAGUGAAGAAGGCCUUAGGGUUGUAAAGCUCUUUUACCCGGGAAGAUAAUGACUGUACCGGGAGAAUAAGCCCCGGCUAACUCCGUGCCAGCAGCCGCGGUAAUACGGAGGGGGCUAGCGUUGUUCGGAAUUACUGGGCGUAACGCGCACGUAGGCGGCUUUGUAAGUUAGAGGUGAAAGCCCAGGGCUCAACCCUGGAACUGCCUUUAAGACUGCAUCGCUUGAACACGGGAGAGGUGAGUGGAAUUCCGAGUGUAGAGGUGAAAUUCGUAGAUAGUCGGAAGAACACCAGUGGCGAAGGCGACUCACUGGACCGUUGUUGACGCUGAGGUGCGAAAGCGUGGGGAGCAAACAGGAUUAGAUACCCUAGUAGUCC
This 425-nucleotide ribosomal RNA is filed under the name uncultured bacterium. RNAcentral describes it as "partial 16S ribosomal RNA". It matches the Rfam family "Bacterial small subunit ribosomal RNA", at positions 354 to 796 of the family's 1533-position model. The record is from RNAcentral.